AUGCAAUCGAUGAGUCCCAAAUAUGACGAAACGUGCGUCUUGGAU
Molecule: non-coding RNA, 45 nt
Organism: Schistosoma margrebowiei
Lineage: Eukaryota; Metazoa; Platyhelminthes; Trematoda; Strigeidida; Schistosomatidae
Source: Rfam